This 301-nucleotide ribosomal RNA is filed under the name uncultured bacterium. RNAcentral describes it as "partial 16S ribosomal RNA". It matches the Rfam family "Bacterial small subunit ribosomal RNA", at positions 509 to 807 of the family's 1533-position model. The record is from RNAcentral.
CAGUAGCCACGGGAAUACGUAGGUGGCAAGCGUUGUCCGGAAUUAUUGGGCGUAAAGGGCUCGCAGGCGGUUUCUUAAGUCUGAUGUGAAAGCCCCCGGCUCAACCGGGGAGGGUCAUUGGAAACUGGGAAACUUGAGUGCGGAAGAGGAGAGUGGAAUCCCACGUGUAGCGGUGAAAUGCGUAGAGAUGUGGAGGAAUACCAGUGGCGAAGGCGACUCUCUGGUCUGUAACUGACGCUGAGGAGCGAAAGCGUGGGGAGCGAACAGGAUUAGAUACCCCCGUAGUCCCUGUCUCUUAUAC